Molecule: ribosomal RNA, 492 nt
Filed under: uncultured bacterium
Lineage: Bacteria
Description: partial 16S ribosomal RNA
Rfam family: Bacterial small subunit ribosomal RNA
Source: RNAcentral
AGUGAACGCUGGCGGUAGGCCUAAUACAUGCAAGUCGAACGGCCACACAGUAAGAGUUCGCCUCUACGGGUGGCGAGUGGCGGAUGGGUGAGGCAUACAUCGGAUUCUACUUUUUCGUGGAGGACAUCGUAGGGACACUUCUGAUACUACAUCACAUGAUCUACGGGUGAAAGCAACAGUUCUUCGCGCUUUGCGUGUCUCUAUGAGCCGAGGCCGCAUUACCUAGUUGGCGAGGUAAAGGCCCACCAAGGCAACGAUCCGUAGCUGGUCUGAGAGGAUGAUCAGCCACACUGGAACUGAGACACGGUCCAGACUCCUACGGGAGGCAGCAGUAGGGAAUAUUGAGCAAUGGGCGCAAGCCUGAUCGAGCCACACCGCGUGAGUGAAGAAGGCCUUCGGAUUGUAAAGCCCUGUUAUUAGGAAAGAAAAACAGCGUAAGAAAACACCGAUGUUCUGACGGUACCCAAAGAGAAAGCACCGGCUAACUACGUG